AACGAACGCUGGCGGCGUGCCUAACACAUGCAAGUCGAACGAGAAAGGGGCUUCGGCUCCGAGUAAAGUGGCGCACGGGUGAGUAACACGUGGGUAACCUGCCUCUAAGAUUGGGAUAACUCGUCGAAAGAUGAGCUAAUACCGAAUAAGACCACAGUUCCCGCGGGAACAGGGGUCAAAGGUAGCCUCUGCUUGCAAGCUAUCACUUAGAGAUGGGCCUGCGCACCAUUAGCUAGUUGGUAGGGUAACGGCCUACCAAGGCAAAGAUGGUUAGCUGGUCUGAGAGGAUGAUCAGCCACACUGGAACUGAGACACGGUCCAGACUCCUACGGGAGGAAGCAGUGGGGAAUAUUGCGCAAUGGGCGAAAGCUUGACGCAGCAACGCCGCGUGAGUGAUGAAGGCCUUCGGGUCGUAAAGCUCUGUCGGGAGGAACGAAUGCUCCUGAGGUUAACAGCCUCGGGAGGUGACGGUACCUUCAAAGGAAGCACCGGCUAACUCUGUG
Molecule: ribosomal RNA, 503 nt
Filed under: uncultured bacterium
Lineage: Bacteria
Description: partial 16S ribosomal RNA
Rfam family: Bacterial small subunit ribosomal RNA
Source: RNAcentral